UACGUAGGUGGCGAGCGUUGUCCGGAGUUACUGGGCGUAAAGGGGGCGCAGGCGGCGGUGCGUGGUGGGGAGUGAAAUCCGCGGGCUUACCUCGCGGGGGUCUUCCCAGACGGCACGGCUGAUCACAUAGGAGAGGCGCGGAGAGGGGCGUGGAAUUCCGGGUGGAGCGGUGAAAUGCGUAGAGAUCCGGAGGAACACCGACGGCGAAGGCAGCGCCCUGGCCGCGACCUGACGCUGAGGCCCGAAAGCU
Molecule: ribosomal RNA, 250 nt
Filed under: uncultured bacterium
Lineage: Bacteria
Description: partial 16S ribosomal RNA
Rfam family: Bacterial small subunit ribosomal RNA
Source: RNAcentral